CUCCUCUUCUUCUUUUUCUUCUUCGUCUUCUUCUUCUUCUUCUUCUUCUUCUUCUUCUUUUCUUCUUCUCCUCUUUUUCUUCUACUUCUCCUCUUCUUCUAUUUUCAUCCUCUUCUCCUCUCCUCCUCUUCUUAUUCUCCUUCUCCUUCUUCUUCUUUUCUUCUCCUCCUCGUCUUAUUUUCCUUUUUCCUAUUCUUAUUUUCUUCUUCUCCUCUUUCUCUUCUCUUCUUCUUCUUAUUCUUCUUCUUCUUCU
RNAcentral lists this long non-coding RNA (253 nucleotides) under Hordeum vulgare. RNAcentral's name for it is "long non-coding RNA (HVUL_LNC019145)". The record is from RNAcentral. Lineage: Eukaryota; Viridiplantae; Streptophyta; Magnoliopsida; Poales; Poaceae.